This 69-nucleotide transfer RNA is filed under the name Paraflavitalea soli. RNAcentral's name for it is "tRNA-OTHER". Lineage: Bacteria; Pseudomonadati; Bacteroidota; Chitinophagia; Chitinophagales; Chitinophagaceae. The record is from RNAcentral.
GCUCCAUUAGUUCAACUGGUAGGACAUGUAUGAACAGUACAGAUGCGGGUUCGAUCCCCGUAUGGAAAA